CCUACGGGAGGCAGCAGUGAGGAAUAUUGGUCAAUGGCCGUAAGGCUGAACCAGCCAAGUCGCGUGAAGGAAGAAGGAUCUAUGGUUUGUAAACUUCUUUUAUAGGGGAAUAAAGGUAUCCACGUGUGGUUAUUUGCAUGUACCCUAUGAAUAAGCAUCGGCUAACUCCGUGCCAGCAGCCGCGGUAAUACGGAGGAUGCGAGCGUUAUCCGGAUUUAUUGGGUUUAAAGGGUGCGUAGGUUGUUUUUUAAGUCAGCGGUGAAAGUGUGUGGCUCAACCAUAAAAUUGCCGUUGAAACUGGGAGACUUGAGUGUGGUUGAGGUAGGCGGAAUGCGUGGUGUAGCGGUGAAAUGCAUAGAUAUCACGCAGAACUCCGAUUGCGAAGGCAGCUUACUAAGCCAUAACUGACACUGAAGCACGAAAGCGUGGGGAUCAAACAGGAUUAGAUACCCGAGUAGUC
This 460-nucleotide ribosomal RNA is filed under the name uncultured bacterium. Its description in RNAcentral is "partial 16S ribosomal RNA". It matches the Rfam family "Bacterial small subunit ribosomal RNA", at positions 338 to 795 of the family's 1533-position model. The record is from RNAcentral.